AGUGCAAAGGGGGUUUGUCUUCAUACUGUCAUUAUGUCAUUUAAAUGUAUCAUGUUACACAGGUAAUACUGGUCGUUAUUGAAGUAAAACAAAAUCUAUUAAAUGAAGUCCUAGCAUGUUGGAUUUAAACCUUUGCAAAUCAUACUGAAUAUGUAUUGGUUUGACCAUGAUUCCCACUUAGAAUAUGACACCUGCUAGUACAUGUGCACUUUGAUGCAUAGAAAAUAUAGAUGUCACUGAGUCGCUCGUAAAGCUGCAAAUUGUGAAACAAUGCAUUAAUUCAUUAUUUAAUGCUAGUUAUCUAUUGUUUUUGGAAAUUAUGAAUAUGGCGUGCAGCAUUAUUCCAUGAUGAUAAUGUGAUGUUCUGAUUAAAUUGGACAAGAAUAAAAUUGUGCCUUGUACAAAUAGGAAAAUUACAAAUUGUAUUAAAGGAGGACCACAUUACUGGAGAACUAAUUACCUUGGAUUAUCAUGAUCAAUUGUGAAUUUGGAAUAACAAAAUUUCGUAGUUGCAGUGAAUAUUAAUAGUGCAAUCAUACAUGUACACUAUUUCUGAAUUCCAUGAAUACCCAGGAUAACUAUUCAUUUGAAAUAGCAAUUUGGAAUAAUGAAAAUGCAUAGUUUCAGUGAAUACUACUAAUAAUAGUGCAUCAUAUCUGAAUUCAUGAAUACUUUUAAUUAGUGGAUAAUCAGUCAUUUUAAUAUAAUAAUAAUAUGGAUACUGUGAAUUUCUUGUUUCAGUGAAAUUUACAAAACAGUACAUGUAUAUCACAUCUGAAGUUUAUGUUGGCAUUGCAAUUGUUAACUACCGCCAGCAUGUCCAGGGUGUGUAAAAAGAUCUUAACCAACUAUGAGGGUCUCGUGCAGUCUGUGUCAAUUGUUUAGAGUCAAAUGACUGCUUACUGUACUUAAAUUAUUAAAGUCUGAAUUAGAAUUAAAUAAAAAUCUUAAUUAGCAUGAUUAGUCAUGUUAGUGGCCAAGUA
Long non-coding RNA from Mytilus trossulus (common blue mussel), 983 nucleotides. RefSeq lists it as uncharacterized. The record is from RefSeq and is a predicted model, not a curated record. Lineage: Eukaryota; Metazoa; Mollusca; Bivalvia; Mytilida; Mytilidae. The transcript is spliced from 2 exons.